Molecule: long non-coding RNA, 354 nt
Organism: Physella acuta
Lineage: Eukaryota; Metazoa; Mollusca; Gastropoda; Physidae
Source: RefSeq, a predicted model, not a curated record
GAAAAGAUAGAAAAAAGAAAACUUAAAAUUGUCAACAAGAAGUGGAUUGAAGACUGUGUCAUUUCUGAAAAAUACACAGACCCAGACACUUAUCUGGGGGAGAGCGCUAUCUAUAUGAUCACCCAUCUUUCAGAAAAUGAGCCAGGUCCAGAAACAAUUGAUAAAGUGAAAGAGUUUCUAUGUUAUUUUGAUAAACACGAUUUCGAAGAAAUGGAAACCAACUUGAAGAAAUGCAUGGCAGAAAAAGACAUCAUGUAACCUUUUGACAAUUUGAAUUUGAUCAUUCCCCAAAAAAUUUCAAGAAAAUUAGCAUAUCAGCAAAGAAAAUAGGAAUUUCUAGGAAUUGUUUUAAAA